GGCGCAGUGGUUUAUUGAUUAGCACGUUUGCCUCGUACCUCCUGGGUUGGGGGUUCGAAUCCCGCCUCCGCCC
Ameiurus melas (black bullhead) is the source of this 73-nucleotide non-coding RNA. NCBI's taxonomy places the organism in Eukaryota, Metazoa, Chordata, Actinopteri, Siluriformes, Ictaluridae. The record is from the annotation of a GenBank genome assembly.